Long non-coding RNA from Onychostoma macrolepis, 1324 nucleotides. RefSeq lists it as uncharacterized. NCBI's taxonomy places the organism in Eukaryota, Metazoa, Chordata, Actinopteri, Cypriniformes, Cyprinidae. The transcript has 3 exons. The record is from RefSeq and is a predicted model, not a curated record.
UGUAAUCGGUUUGAGAGGGGUGGGAUAAACCUUUCUAUAAACCGAACAAAAUUAAAAUCCUGCCAUGUAAACACUUUAAACCGAUUACUUUGCGUCUACGUCAUCACGUCCAGAGGUCGGGUCGUCAGAACGUGAACGUGAUGAUGUCGGCAACGGUACAUUCUGUGAUUUGGGGACACCGACACUACAGUAGAGACUGGGUAAUAGUGGAGAUACAUCUGUUUCUUGCUGUUGUCUCUGGAGAUGGUGAAGCGUCCCUGAACAGACUGAGAGUAGUAUAUAUAACUACUACCACCAGAGAUGUAUGCCAGCCACUCCAGACCUCCUCCUGCAGUCUGUCUGAUCCAAGCUAAGUCUGGGUCACCACUAAAUCCAGAGACUGUACAGAUCUUCAGGAAACAGGAAGGAGGAAGUCAAGUGAUGUCAUCAGUGUGAUUUUUAUUUCAAAAUAAAUAAUUUUUGUUAAUCGGUAACACCAGUGACAACUCCAGGGGACCACCGCUUUUAUUAUAUAUUUUAUAAUAUUUAUUUUACAUUUUGUAUUUGUAUGUCAUUUACAUCAUAUAUUUGAUAGUUAUGAAUACAUUAUUGUAUUUUAAAUGGAAGAAAAACCUGUUUUUGAACUCUAAAUAAAGCACUUUCCCGCUGUACAUGGCUGUGGGGACGAGCAGUUUUGUGGUGCUUGGAAUUCUUUAUAAUUAAUUUAAAACAAAUAUUGCCACAUUGAUGGUUUAAGAAGGUGUAAUUGUUCAAAUAACACAUCGUUUUAUUUUAAAAUAUAAAAAUUUUAUAUUUUUUAUAGUGUAAUAUUUCUGUGAAGGCUAGGGACAGAAAAAUGGACAUUUCCAUAGAAUGACCCGUUGUCUCUGGAGAUGGUGAAUCGUCCUUCAACAGUUUUAGAGUAACAUUUGUCACGGCCACUUGGAGCAGAAAUAUUUGAGAUCCACUCGAGCGCUUUCUGUCUCAUCCAUGAAAUAUCUGCAGCUCCAACAUCAAUCCCAGAGAAGGUACAGGUCAGUUUAUGAUUGUUCCCUGGUUUGAUGACGACUGACUCAGACUCAGUCAGUGUUUGACCUUUGAACUCUGUUAAAAUAAAAGUCAGACCGUUGUCUACAGUAGUCAAUAAUAAAGUAGUGUAAAAAUGUAUUCCUAUAUUAUAUUUACUGUCCAUAACUACGAUUAUGCUUAUUAAACAUAAUUCUGAGGACCAUUUUUGCAGCAGUUUUUGUUAAAAAAUCUCACUGACAGAAUACUGAGGAGAUAAAUACGGAGGGUUUAUAAGACAGAAGGUACAAUUAAUUUGCAUUGUCCAUCCCCCGGCUGA